Molecule: long non-coding RNA, 1015 nt
Filed under: Sarcophilus harrisii (Tasmanian devil)
Lineage: Eukaryota; Metazoa; Chordata; Mammalia; Dasyuromorphia; Dasyuridae
Description: lncRNA (ENSSHAG00000030267.1)
Source: RNAcentral
AAGGAGAUCAAGCAUCCUGUUUUUAAGGAAGGGAGAGCAACGACAAUAUGGUCAUUCCAAUUUGAUCUGUCUUUCAUUCUCUCAAUUUGGUUCAUAAUAGGCAAAAAGGCACCUUCAAAAAAUGCCUCUUUCAUUUAUAACUGAAGCCAACUGUGAACAGCACGAGUAGUUGGGGUCAUUUGGAUUAUCCUAGGAAACAUCUGUGCACGUUUUUCCAGGACUAGGCUGAAAACUUGUGGAAUGGAUGCUUGCUGAACAUUCAUAGGUUCCAGCAUAGUUUUAUCAAGAAAAAAAAGAGCCUCCCAAAUCCUGAGCAAGCUCUAGCAAUGCACGAGGCAACCUCCUUAUCAAUGUGGACAUCCCUGGAACUUAUACUGCCAAAGUAGUGACAGCUCAAAGGAAAGAGGGAAUGAAAGAAGGAAAGAAAAAAAAGAAGGAAGUGAACAUUUACUAAGCACCAACUGUAUGCUGGAUGUCAUGCUAAAUUGAUUGAGAGACUUCUUCAAGAUUGAUAUAUAACCUUUACAUCUAUUAAAAUAAUCAGGCAUAAGCAAUAAGGAGAGGAACAGAUUCUCAAAGUAUUAUUUAUACCUCAUGUAGAAGAAAACAAAUCAAACGUCCAAACAUAGGGACAGAAAGCUGUUAACUGUAGAAUGCUGUCAGACAACCAAGAGAACAAACCAAAAAGUGAAGGACAGUUGAUAUCAGAUGGGGAAUUGAUAGAGUACAGCAAAGGUCACCAGAAAUGUGGCUAUAUAAAGGAGAGAAGAUGGCAUUUUAUCAAAGAGAUGUUCAAAGGGCACAAGAAAAAAAAAAAACAAAAUGGAAAAUCAAAAGGUACAGAAAAAAAGUUGGAAGAAAACAAGAGUGUAACAAUCCAGUGACAUGAACAAAAAAAAGCCAUUCUAUGACAGAAGAGGGACUGAGGACUAACAUAGAAUGGAAGUAAUCUUUUUGAACAAUGAGGUUUAGCAUUUAUAAAGAGAGAGAAGCAGUAUGUGCAGUGAAAAGUGUG